GAAUGAGUUCCUGAGAGAUUGUGAAGAAGACGAUGAUUCAAAUAUUAAUAGCCCCAAUCCAAAAACGGGAGGUAUAACUAGUAAACAAUCCGCGUUCCUGCACUGCAGGAACGCGGACACAAGUGGUGUAUGACUAUUGUCAGCUCGUGCCGUAAGAUAUCGGGUGCAUUGAUUUCAUUGAACCACUAUUGAAUGAACAGAACCAACGAAGAUCGUCUAUUGGUAGCUUGAACAACGCCCUUAGGAUAACCAUAAUAAGACUGAAUGGGAUCCCUAUGAUCAACAUGUUCUGAAUUAAACAAGGUUGAUUUCUUCUAUGUCGAUCUCUAUUAGAGGUAUCAUUGAAUUAAUAGUCUAGUGAUUGAACCUAAUAAUUGAAUAUUUCUCUAUGAUGAGACCGGAAUUGCAUUUAAAAAAUAGCUGAGGUGUAGUCGCAAAAUUUGAAGGUAGGGACAAAUGGAUUGGCAGAUUAAGAAAGCUAGGCUUGAAACUCGACGAUCUUCACCACGGAUGAGUCCCCAAUCUUUUGGAAGACAACUAUUUGGUCGUUGGGCUUAAGCAAUCCCACAGAUUUACCAUGAUUAAGGGCAAGUUUCAAUCCAGACUCUUCACUGGAAGCACCUGAAGUUGCCACAUUAGGGCUUGCAAGAAUAGGGUAAAUUCCUCUAACACCAAGCAAGUGACGAGCCUGUGCAGAACCAGUGAAAGUCCAUUUCAAGGAAUUCGAUCUGAGACGAGGAAUGACAACAGCAAAAACAGGCACUGGUGGCCUAUACUUAGCAAUCAACCUAAAAAGUAUGAACUUGCAAGAAUCAGCUGGUAAUUUAAUUGGCAUUCUUAAAUAGUUAGCACCUAUUAGAAGACUACAAGAGCUGUAUAAGAAUAUAGAAAUUUGAAGCACCUUGCUGCUCUCCCAGAGGAUGUGAACACAACAAUUAGUGCAGCCUUGACCUUAAUAGCAGCACGUACCUUUGAUAAAAACAUAAACAGUGUCAUCAUGAACUACUCAUGCAUUUUGAUGAGCCUAUUUGGGAUUAAGGUUCGUUCUUGCUUAUCAGAAAAGCACCACCCUUUUAGAUGUUUUGGAGAUUUUAUUAGUAAAACAUGUUAAGUUUGAUUGAAAAACAAAUUUUAUUGGCAUCUAAUUGACUCAUUCAAGGUGGUGUUUUUUCAGUAGUUCAAACACGGGUUCGAAACAAACUUCCCAAAGAAUAGUAAUAAAAAGAUACCGCUGAUGAAGCAACAGAUUCGGCAUGAGACAUAGGCUCUCCAACAUGUUUGCUGAUUCUCUUAAAAUGAACAGAAUGAUUGCGCACUGUUUCAGCCUCAGCACAAAUUCUCCCCACAAUUUUUAUUGUCUCAAUGGGAUAUAGUCCUCUAAGUGUCUCAGCACCCAAUAAUAUACCAUCAGCACCAUCAAGAACAGCAUUGGCAACAUCAGUUGCUUCUGCACGAGUUGGUCUUAGAUUUCCAGUCAUGCUAUCAACUACUCGAGUAAUUAUGACUGGUUUCCCUGCCAUGUUACACUUAUAUACAGCAGACUUUUGAAACAAGAAAACCUUUUCUGGGGGAAGGUCAAUUCCUAAAUUUCCACGACCAAGGAUAAUACCAUCUGCUUCCUGAAGGAUCUCACAAAAAUGUUUCAAGCCCUCAACAGUUUCUAUUUUGGCGAAUACUUGAGUCUCAUGGAGAUUAUUUGUUCUAAGAAAAGUUCUAAGCUCUCGCACAUCUUCUACAUUGCGAGUGUAUGAUAGAGAUAUGAAAUCAACAUUGUUACGUGAACCCCACUCCGAAAUAACCUUUUUAUCCUUAUCACUUAAAUUUGGCAAACUUUCAUACACUUGAGAAACAUGCAUUAAUAUAAAGCCCGCAAGAGUGGCAGUGUUUUUUAUGAGACACAUGACAUCUUGGCCAUUUGUCUCUAAAACCUCAAGCCAUACUGAGGUGUUUUCACUUCCUGUGAAGAGAUACUGACCAAGAAAAACAGUGUCGCCCUUCUUCAGAAUCUUGGAGAGUCCAGAAUAAUCUACGGGUAAAAACUCUGCUGAUGGUUCUCUAGAAACAUCUGAAGUAAUAGUUAUAUGGUCAUCAGCCUUCAGCUCAAUUGGUUUCCCAUUCUGGUUACAAAUUGGAAUUUCUGGGCCUACAGUAUCCAGCAUAACAGCACAUAGUUUCUUAGCAUUUUUCAUAGCUAGCCUCAAAUUGCGGAGUGUUUCUUGGUGGUAGUCACUAUCUAACCAUGAAAAGUCGAACCGUGCAACUGGCAAGAUAGGAAGGGGCAAGAAAUGAACAUAGCUCUGAGAAAUUUAAAGGGGAAAAAGGCAAAUUAAAGAAUGCAAAUAUACAAGAAUCACCUGACAUUCCUGCAUUAAGACACGCCUCAAUGGUUUCAAUGGACCGCGAAUUUGGUCCAAGUGUUCCAACUAAUUUGGUUAGCGAAGGCAAAUGGCUCUGCAGGUUUCAAGAUAAAAACAAGAAUUUUUAUUUGUCUACAAACAAAUAGCUUUGCUUCUACUAUUUUAAUAAUGAUAAUGCUAAAGAAUAAAAAUCAAGGCUGUAGCUUAUCACUUUUGAAUAUGUACCCAAUAAAAAUACUCCGAACAAGCUGUAACCUUAUCUAAAGUAUAGCAUAUGGAGAGUGAUUUUCAGAGUUCUACAAAGUUAGAACAUAUUAAUAGCGUACUGAAUGUUUAACUAGCACAGGAUUUUAAAAGAAGUAAGAGUAUAAGAAGUUAUUUCUCCUAAGGAUGAUGAAGAUCCAGAUCUUGAUGGAUACUAAUCCUCUCUUCAAGAAGCAUGGAACUUGCUGAUGAGAAAUUUAAUUUAGGAUCCCUUCUUUCUUUCAAGCCUUGAAAAUUCUAAAAGUGAAUUUUAUCCUGUUGUCUCUUGUUUCAAAGGCGAAAAGUCCAAUUUAUGAGUGAGUUUUCAUCUUAUUUGCAGAGAUCAUACUAUUCAUCAAUGUUUGCUAACACUAUAGUUAAUAUAUUGCAGGGUUGCAUGCCUUUUUUCUGUC
This 3013-nucleotide unclassified non-coding RNA is filed under the name Hevea brasiliensis (rubber tree). Lineage: Eukaryota; Viridiplantae; Streptophyta; Magnoliopsida; Malpighiales; Euphorbiaceae. The record is from RNAcentral.